Long non-coding RNA from Myotis davidii, 462 nucleotides. RefSeq lists it as uncharacterized. The transcript has 2 exons. The record is from RefSeq and is a predicted model, not a curated record. NCBI's taxonomy places the organism in Eukaryota, Metazoa, Chordata, Mammalia, Chiroptera, Vespertilionidae.
GCCCGAGCCCGACAGCCGACUGCCUUUUACUUCCCCUUCCGAUUGGCGACACCCACAGGACUUCCGGCUACCGAGACGUGGCGUGGAAGCCCAGAGCGUCGCGUGGUCGCCAUCUUGUCCCGAGGCGGCCCCGCCUUCCUCCGGGCUCCUUGAAGGGAAGGGACGGACGCGGAGACGGGAGACUCUGCCGAAAAGUACCAAAAGGUGAGACAACCCUUCCCCUGAGAAUGCCAGAUGAGCAGAAGCACUUACUUCACCCGACAAGUGUGUGUCUGGACUGUUUAAGAACCUAAGGGCUGGCUAUUGGUUUUUCUGUGCCUUGCUAGGACAAAGGAGGUAAAAAUGAUUUUAAGGAAUGAAAAUGAGUGUUGUAAAAUUCUUGAAUGAACCUUAUUGUUAGUAGCUUUCUCUUGGGUGUUUUUGCCGCUCUUUAAACUACUUCAGGUGAUGCUUCCAAUAAAA